This 492-nucleotide ribosomal RNA is filed under the name uncultured bacterium. RNAcentral describes it as "partial 16S ribosomal RNA". It matches the Rfam family "Bacterial small subunit ribosomal RNA", at positions 29 to 507 of the family's 1533-position model. The record is from RNAcentral.
AGUGAACGCUGGCGGUAGGCCUAACACAUGCAAGUCGAACGGCAGCACAGUAAGCGCUUGCUCUUACGGGUGGCGAGUGGCGGACGGGUGAGGAAUACAUCGGAAUCUACUUUUUCUUGGGGGAUAACGUAGGGAAACUUACGCUAAUACCGCAUACGACCUACGGGUGAAAGCAGGGGAUCUUCGGACCUUGCGCGAUUGAAUGAGCCGAUGUCGGAUUAGCUAGUUGGCGGGGUAAAGGCCCACCAAGGCGACGAUCCGUAGCUGGUCUGAGAGGAUGAUCAGCCACACUGGAACUGAGACACGGUCCAGACUCCUACGGGAGGCAGCAGUGGGGAAUAUUGGACAAUGGGCGCAAGCCUGAUCCAGCCAUACCGCGUGGGUGAAGAAGGCCUUCGGGUUGUAAAGCCCUUUUGGUGGGAAAGAAAAGCAGCAGGUUAAUACCCCGCUGUUCUGACGGUACCCAAAGAAUAAGCACCGGCUAACUUCGUG